RNAcentral lists this small RNA (477 nucleotides) under Pan troglodytes (chimpanzee). Its description in RNAcentral is "retained intron". Lineage: Eukaryota; Metazoa; Chordata; Mammalia; Primates; Hominidae. The record is from RNAcentral.
CUAGACAGACGGUAUAAUAUGGAGAAAGAGAAACUUUACAAGAUACGUUUACUACAGGCUCGAAGAAAUCGAGAAAUAGCAAUUUUGCACCGCAAGAUUGAUGAAGUCCCUAGCCGUGCCGAGCUAAUACAGUAUCAGAAGAGAUUUAUUGAACUCUACCGCCAGAUUUCAGCAGUGCACAAAGAAACCAAGCAGUUCUUCACUUUAUAUAAUACCCUGGAUGAUAAAAAGGUUUAUUUGGAAAAAGAGAUUAGUCUGCUGAACUCAAUUCAUGAGAACUUCUCACAGUAAGUACUGUCAGUCCUCCUUCCCACUAAUACCCUGCCAGCCUGCGCUUUGAAUUCAGCCCACCUCACAUUGCUAUAAUGUGCUUGACAAAGGUACAUGCAAGACUUAACGCUGGGUAUGUGAUUCUUACUCUUUUAGCCCUUCUGCUAAGUAUCUUGUUUACACUCUCCUUGAGUACCUGCAAAACUA